Oncorhynchus tshawytscha (Chinook salmon) is the source of this 322-nucleotide long non-coding RNA. The record is from Ensembl. Lineage: Eukaryota; Metazoa; Chordata; Actinopteri; Salmoniformes; Salmonidae.
CGUAAAACGGCAGCCAUCUCCUCCGGGCGCCAGAUGUUUGUCUGAUGUAAUUGAUCUAGAGAUGGGGGGUGAGCAGGUGGGUCUGGGCAGGUGUGAUGUAGUUGAUCUAGAGAUGUGGGGUGAGCAGGUGGGUCUGGGCAGGUGUGAUGUAGUUGAUCUAGAGAUGUGGGGUGAGCAGGUGGGUCUGGGCAGGUGUGAUGUAAUUGAUCUAGAGAUGGGGGUGAGCAGGUGGGUCUGGGCAGGUGUGAUGUAGUUGAUCUAGAGUUGGGGGUGAGCAGGUGGGUCUGGGCAGGUGGGUUGUAGUUGAUCUAGAGAUGUGGGG